ACCUCGGAUCGGGCAGCCUAUCAGGCGGCUCUCGGGCGUGGGUUGGCAUUCCAUUCAUUUGGGCUGCUGUCGUUGAAGAUUUUCACGUUCGAUCACGCGGACGGCGCAGGGCCACUUUAUCGCGACCCCUAGAGAAUCGUCGCCUGGAGAAAGAAUGAGUAGGCAGAAAUGGAGAUAAAGAGAAAGGGAGACAGAGGACGAAAAGGGCCUCUCUGGUUGGUGUCGGUGGCCUUCGACGAACCACGAGACGAAUUUCGAUUCGAUUGCGUGGGAGCGUGAUAAGGCUACCGGAGGAGGAAACCGAUUAUCGGGUUCACAGUGCCUCACCAGAUGUAACGUCGAACGCGGUACACGUGCACAAACGCACCAACACCGAGGUGGACGCAAGUGUACGCACCGGAAGCAAUACUCCCUGGCACUUGGCCGGGCAUUAGUGCAUGCACUGACUGAUAUGUAUAUGUGAACACAAAUAAGCUUGUACACUCCACCGCGUGGGCGUGUGCGUGUGAUUACCACGAAAAGCGGCCCUAGGUUGACAGGAAAUGGUUUGAGAUAAGAUAAUGACGUCCCUCGCCUCUCCUGCAUCCGGCUGCUUUCUUCGUCGCUUCGACGUUGGAAAAUGUUCCCUUGCCGCAGCCGGGACAGGUACCGAUUCAAUUUUCAAUCAAAUAAGUCUAAAAAAAUUUUUUUAUGUAACCACCAUGAUAAAAUAGGAAAAUUAGAAAUGAAUUGUAUAAUAAUUACGGUAGAACCUGCAAUCCUUAGAAACUUUCUGACGUAAAAAAAUAGCAGCGAAGAUUUUUUCGAUCAUGAGUCUAAAACAAAAUUUUCAAUAUAAGCUCCAAAAUAAAGUGAACAAAAUGGUGGAUGGAGUGUAAUGAAAAUGGAACCUCGGACGCACGAAAAUAGCCAUCCGACUCUUUGCGAGGAUUUUUCAAAAUAUACAAGAGGAAUAGCAGUGUAAACGAACCAGGCCUCCACUAUGAAUAAUCGCAUCCUGUCUCAGUAACUAAGCAAAAAAGAAAAGAAGGCUUAAACAUAUAUAAACAUCUGAGGUCGGCAUUUUAUAAUAGUAAUAACGAUAAUAUCUCCCAGUUCAACUUAUUUAAUGUUUGCUGUAAUUAGUUAUGCAAACAUUGAUCGAUGGUAUUGUGCGAACGAUCACGUUUCAUGGAUCAUCACUGCAUAUUUAUAGGUUAGAGACGUAGAUGGUUUCCCGCGCUUUCCAUUCUAAGGGAAAUUGGUAGACGGGAGACCAAUUCUCUGAAUGACUCUCAAAACUGGUGCGCCCACAUUCCUCCAGCCACACAAGAUUCGAGGUUCUGGCAUGUUCACUAGCCUGUAAAACUGCUUGCGGGAUCUUCGUUCCCCCCUCUUUAUGCCUACGGAUCGAAUAAACGACAUACAGUUAACAAAAGGUACCAUAAACGUAUCGAUACAUGUAUAUAAGUACGUACAAUGAUUACAAAAGGUUUUACAUUUCAUUGUCAUAAUAUAAAAUUUCUGUAAUCAUAGAAGAGUACAAAUUUAAUUUACUUAGACAUAAUUAAUCACCAUGUAAAUGUUACAAUAAAUAGAAUAGUAUACAAAUACUUUGUUGAUUAUAUUGAUUAUUAAAAAAAAGAAAACAAUUAUAUCGGUUAGGGUAUAUCUAACAUAUGACAUUCGCUUUACUUUGGUUCCCGAAAUAUUCGUAAAAAUAUUUUUGAUACUUUUUAUUUUGGUAUAGUUUAUGUUUGGAUUAGAAUUGAGUUAGGUUUAUACACUAUAGUAACCGUAAACACUUUUUGUAGUCACUGUAUGUAUUUUUCACAUAUAGAUCAAUCAACACCAAAAAUAAAUUAUACCUGCCGAAUUCUUUUGUAAUUCAUUUUCACAUAAUUCAUCUUGAUUCUUAGACAUGGCCUUUUAUCCGUCAAUUUUUCUUAAGAUUUGGCAGCAAGGUUUUAUAGGAUUACAUGUCAUAUGUAUUGAUUGACUGAUAUGUCAAGCAGAAUGCAAUUAUACAAUCAGAGGUGGCGCUAAUCAGGCCAUCUUUAUCAAUAUUGUUCUCCCGCGUUUUUUUCUUUUUUUUCGUUAAUUGCUUUUAAGGACAAUGAUAGCCGUAGAUUAAUUUUUCGAUAAUUUAAGAAUAUUUUUUCAGUUAUGGAUAUAUUUGAUUAAUUAUUAAUUAUUUACUAUCGUAAAUUUAAAUAAAGGGGGCGCUGAGAGAUUUUUUCCCCCAUUUUCACUUACUUUCCGUUUCCGAUGCAAUUAAUCGAUUUCACAACUACAAUUUUAUUUUUUCUAGUAUUUUUAAUGCAUUAAAUUAAAAUUUGCAUGCUUAUGUAUUAGUUAUGUUAAAAGUGAAUAGAUUCAACUAAAAUUGAAUAUUAGGGGAAAGGCAUUACUUUUUGUAGUAGUCAUUUCCGUCUCUCCGUUCCCUGUUUCUUGGAGAAGAAAUGGUCCUCGAGCUAGUCCCGGUUUCUUGCAAAAAAGUUGGUACAUUCGUCGUUGAAAUCGCAGUAGUGAAUAUAAUUUUGUAAUUUGACCGUCAAAGUGAUGUUUGAAGUGAUUAUCGUUUAUGUCAUAGCCUUUCAUUCUUAGCAAGUUAUUAGUAUCAAAAGUACUUCAGAAUAAGGCCUUCUUCUUAUUUGCAAUUUUUCAAAAUGUUUUGUAACCUAUACAACACGCUAGUUACCGUAAAUCAAUCGUCUAUCAUUUUGUUCGUUAUCGAUACGCAAUUUGCGAUUGAAAUACUUGGAAAAAGUAAAAGAAGGCGUAAAUUCUCAGGAAUUUUGUGGAAUGUGCUCAAGUGGCGAACGAUUUGAAACUGGUAGAGUAAUUCUAUUUAUUCUAUGGGUGUACGAAAGAUUGAUUCAGGUUUCAUCUUGAAUUCAACCCUUAAGAGUUUGGUAAGAGUGAUCUAGAAUUUCCCAUUGUCUCUGCAUACGAAUUUUAAAAAUAGCGUAAUAUUUUAAACUCUACUUUUUUAUCCGAUAUUUAAAGCUAUUGUAACACGUUAUUUUAUCCAAUAAUUAAAUUAACCGAGAAGUUCUCGCAAAUUCAUAUUUUUGCCUUAACUAUUAAAUAUUAUACGGAAUGUGUACUAUAUUUUUGAUAUUUCAUAUAUUUUCAUAUAUUACGUGCAUUCUAUGCAUUUUUCAUUUACAAAUUUCGCGUAACCGUAUAAAAAUCCGCAGUUUAAUUAUAAGAUAUGUAUUCGACCUAAUAUAGGACAUUUGGUUAGUCAGGGGUUAUAGAAAAGUGUAAAAUUUGAAAGAUCACAUUUUUAUUCAAGAACAAAAUAAUUUAAUUUAUCGACAGCUAAGUGAGAUCUUUGAAUCUUAAAAUUGCAUUCAGAACAGUUUUAUUGCAUCAAAUUUUCAUGAAUUGUUUGCUUAAAUAGCAGAGGGAGUGCUAUAUCAGUCAACUCGAAUACCUUAUUUAAGGACAUUUAUUGCUUCUAUUUUCAUCACUCGAUCGAUAACAAUGAGAUUCAAAAAUAUUCCGCGUCUUUUUUAAUGUUUAUACACUUUCUAAACGAAAUGCAUAUUACAAAAUGUACCAAAAUAUAGGAUAUGUAUAUGUUUAAACAAAGUGCCAAUCUUACAACAACAAAUUAAUGGAAAAUAUCGAAAAUGGAUGGAUUUUAGAAUUCCAUAAGUAUGGUUCAAAUGCAUCAAUAUAUCGAAAUACGAUCACACAGAUCUUCAAAUAUCGACCGAGCGGUUACGCAAUUAUCGACUCAUCCAAGGAAUAAAAAUCAUCCAUCAGUUUCAGUUAAAAUAAUAUCUGUCUAAAAUAAUAUUAAAGUAUUAUUGAGCCAUCGAGGACCAUAACAAUUUAGAUUUACUAUUUAAUAUUUUCGAAUUUUUCAUUUAAUUUAAUUUAAUUUUAUUAAUCUUUAGAUUUUAUAUCUUUAUAUCUGAAUCUUAAAUUUUAUAGUUAUCCAUUAUAGGCAUCUAUGAUGCUAUUGAUACUUUUAACUAAAGACAUUUUAUAGAAAUUUUGUAGAAAAUUUUAAUAUUUCCAAUAUUUCAGUAUUAUGACAAACAAUAUUUUUGAGAUUAUGAAGAGGAUUAAUCAAUUAUGUAGCUAUAAAAAUAUAAUAUACGACAUUGAUUAAUAAUAUCACCAUUCUCUUUUACGUUAAAAAAUAUCUUCCUUUAUAUUCUAUGCUAGUUAAAACGAAGUAUGUCAUUCUUUGGGAAGAUAAUAAGCGGAGAAAUUGUUGAAAUUAAGAAGAAUUACAAUUAAUUAUAAAGUACAGAAUACAACGUUAACAUCAACAUUCUCUUUGUCAUUAAAAAAUAUCUUUUUUUUAUUUUAUAUGUGUCAAAACAAUAUAUGUAAUUCUUUGCGAAGAUAAUAAGGGAGGAAGUUUAAUUAGCGGCUUUCGCUAGAGGAUUCAAGAAUACUUGUCCGUGUAUGGUAGCUUGUUGUAUACAAGUAACGUGCUAAUAUAGAAUGCGCCGGCAUACGUUGGUAGGUGGCGAAGUAAAAUAAUCAAUGAAGAGGCGAACGGGAUCAGGAGGGAGAAAGCGAAAAGAGCUUUAUACAUUCGCGCCCACGCGGGCCCACGGGUUCUAGUUAUUAUCCCGCGCUGUUUUUGUUCUUCCUGCCGGUAGAGAGACCUUGCCAGGAAUUGGAACGAUGCGAUCGGAGAGAAGAAAAUAUCUGAAGGCUUUUUUUUAAAUCUAUGAAUCAUCGACGAAUAAAAAAUAUUUGAGCGCUCUUUUUACGAGAUACCGUUCAUAUUUGGAAUUACAAUUUUACUUAUAAUUUUCAAUAAUUGAACAAUUUAUUAAACUAAAAUUGUUUUUCUGACAUCCUACGAUUAUUUUGGGCAAUCGUUAUGAAUGACUGGGAAUAACUCAGUGCCACAAGAGUAGGAAAAAUGAAUGCACAUAGUAUGACCGUAGUCUCAAUGAAUCAAGGUCCGAUGUACGCACAUAGAACGCUAGACAGUGAGUGGUUCAUUGAUUUUGAGGUGUAACGACGCUACGCUGAAGUUUAACGUUCGCGAAACAAGAACGUGAUUCUGCUCUCCUGCGAUCUUCUCCUAACGAGCCCACGCUUUUUCCUGGAAUUCUGCUCACCCGACUUACAACCACUAGUUAAUUACUUUCAUCGACGGAAGUCGGCAUUUACGACGAUUGCCCUGCUGCCAAUUUGUACUAAUUCGGUGAACGAACCGGCGGCUCUCGAAACUUGCGCAGGGUGCUCGGGAUAUGUCGACAUUAUUAUAAGAAGUAAAAAAGUGUAUUUUAAUUGUUACAUACAGAUUUAUAUGAUAACUGGAAUAUUGCAGAUUAAUUAAUUUAUUAGAUAGAAAUUUUAUGUGAUCUAUAAAAUGCGUGGGAUUGAUCAAAUUGGAGAAUUGUUGGGAAAUAUUAAAUUUUCGUAUUAUAUACAUACAAUACAUACAUAAAAAGUGCAAUAUAACGCGUAUCUGGUGUUCGAAGAUAAACGUCAUCCGUCUCCUCAGCUCGUGAAGUCAAUUGCAGAGUCAAACACUUGUGAUAUCUGAGAUAUCUUUAUUGACUUCGAUAAGGAGAGAGAAUAAGAAUCAUCGCGAUAAGAGUUUAAGCUGAAUGGAAAAUAAUCAAUGAGGAAAGAUAAGUCUAUUACAUGAGCGGUCCGAUAAAUUUAAUUCGAUUUAACUAAUUAGUAGAUGCUAACUAUUUUCUUCCGGAAUCGGGUUUGGAAUAUACAUUACGCUAUUUGCUGAUAGAUAUAUUCGUCCGGGAUGGAAUAUCGACUUUAGUUGUCUAAACGUUUAUUGAUGAUAAAUUUGAAGAUUCGCUUUUAUAUAAUUUGACCUGAAAGGUAUUGUUUGUCGAUUUCUGAAAUAUUCCUGUUAGUAAAUUAUUCUACAAUUAUCUGGAAAUAAUUUGGAUGAUAAAUUAGUGAUAGCCGUAAGUUUUGAAAAUAACUUUUAAUAAAAUAAAAAUUAUACUUAUCGAUCGAACUUGGCCGAUAUUCUCAAAGUUGUAGAUGGAGCUUGUGAUCAAGUUUCCAUGUAACAACCGACUGAGCUCAUUCUCCAUAUUAGUCCAUUAUUUUCAGCGUAGAUAUUUAAAAUUUGAAAAGGAAGGAAAAUGGAAAUUCAAAUAAUAGAAAUUAAUCAACUCAGGCUAAAGUUUUAAUUAAUUUUUUCUUUUUUAUUUUAUGAAGAUUUUCUCGGUUGAUUUGAUUAUAGCGUUACGAAGUACAUACAGAUUAUUUUAAAGCAUUUGGAGGAGAGACUGCAAGAUGUAUCGGUUUACUAGGCUUUCGAAUUUCGUGGCUCAAGUCUAUUUUGCGAGUUUCUAAAGCCUAUUGUUUUAAAAAGUCGCAAUAAUAUAGACAAAGAUCAAAGCCUAUGAGCAUGACAUAGUAUAAAAUAUAUGUAUUUGAUGAUGAAGUGAAUAAUUAUAUUCCUUACUGAUAUCUAUUAUUGUACUGAUAGCAGUGUAACGUUAAAAGAAUACUCUGCUAUUUGUUAAUAUUAAUAAAAUACAUUUAUGUAAGAA
Bombus terrestris (buff-tailed bumblebee) is the source of this 6497-nucleotide long non-coding RNA. RefSeq lists it as uncharacterized. The transcript has 4 exons. Lineage: Eukaryota; Metazoa; Arthropoda; Insecta; Hymenoptera; Apidae. The record is from RefSeq and is a predicted model, not a curated record.